Molecule: long non-coding RNA, 624 nt
Organism: Zingiber officinale
Lineage: Eukaryota; Viridiplantae; Streptophyta; Magnoliopsida; Zingiberales; Zingiberaceae
Exons: 3
Source: RefSeq, a predicted model, not a curated record
GCCGGCGCUUGAUCAAGAGCCGAACCCCUCUCCUCUCUGCGCCUUCUCCACCCGACAGCACCGCCGGGUGCUCUUCCUCCUCGCUGAGCGACUCGCCGCCGCCACCCCAGCCGACAGCCGGCUGCCUUUCUAGUGCCGACGCCCUCUCUUCAUGGACACCCGGAGCCGCCGGAAGUCGAGCAUCUGAACCCUAGGUUGGGUCCCUGUGCGCCGGCUAAAGCUUUCCCUGCCUCGUGUCUUUGAUCAUCAACUACACUCCUCCAGUGGAUUCUUCUCAGCCGAGCCUUACUCUCGAUUAGUUGGAAUUGGCCGAGCAGUGCUUUACACAGGGUCUCCUUGCUGCCACAUUUGAGAGAUCAGCGGCUCUAUUGUGGAUCCAAGCAUCACUGGUUGGGGAUGAUCCCCAGCUUCGGCACCAAGUUCCAACAACAAGAUCUAUGGUUGUGAGUUGGCAGGAAGAUAUUUAGAUUUAGGUUGUAAGGGGAAUUGCUGAUUAGGGUACUUGUGUGGAGGAUUGCGGCUCUACCUAGCUCCGACCAACAUUUCCAGCGUCAACAGUGGCUUGGUAGUGAGGACUUUGACGCGAGACGAGCAUCUCGACGUCGUAUUCGGACCAGAUUGGAC